This 435-nucleotide ribosomal RNA is filed under the name uncultured bacterium. RNAcentral's name for it is "partial 16S ribosomal RNA". It matches the Rfam family "Bacterial small subunit ribosomal RNA", at positions 29 to 507 of the family's 1533-position model. The record is from RNAcentral.
AGCGAACGCUGGCGGCAGGCUUAACACAUGCAAGUCGAGCGGGCAUCUUCGGAUGUCAGCGGCAGACGGGUGAGUAACACGUGGGAACGUACCCUUCGGUUCGGAACAACUCUGGGAAACUGGAGCUAAUACCGGAUACGCCCUUAUGGGGAAAGGUUUACUGCCGAAGGAUCGGCCCGCGUCUGAUUAGCUAGUUGGUGGGGUAACGGCCUACCAAGGCGACGAUCAGUAGCUGGUCUGAGAGGAUGAUCAGCCACACUGGGACUGAGACACGGCCCAGACUCCUACGGGAAGCAGCAGUGGGGAAUAUUGGACAAUGGGCGCAAGCCUGAUCCAGCCAUGCCGCGUGAGUGAUGAAGGCCUUAGGGUUGUAAAGCUCUUUUGUCCGGGACGAUAAUGACGGUACCGGAAGAAUAAGCCCCGGCUAACUUCGUG